Long non-coding RNA from Cervus elaphus (red deer), 1694 nucleotides. RefSeq lists it as uncharacterized. The record is from RefSeq and is a predicted model, not a curated record. The transcript is spliced from 2 exons. NCBI's taxonomy places the organism in Eukaryota, Metazoa, Chordata, Mammalia, Artiodactyla, Cervidae.
AAGGUUUAACAUUCAAAGUAGGAAUUGGCAUGGCUUGUUUUCCUUUUAAUUGGAGAAGCAAAAUACAGGAUGGUUAUUCAGAAAUCAGGGAGAAUAUGUUAGUUCUAUGUUAUUUGUUAAUUAAAAAGGGGAGGGAGCAAGAGAAAUUCCAUUUUGUAACAUGCUAAUCCACUCCCAGAUAUGCACACAUUAUGAUUGUAUAUAUGUUUAAUUUUUUUUAAUUUAAAAUUUCAAUACUUUAGGGAGGUAUACUAAACUAUAACAAUUAUAUAAUUAUCAAGAAAAGUAGAAGUACAAAAAGUGAGGUGACAUCAUGAAAUGGAGAGAUCUGUGAAGAUAAACAUUUGUUAAAUGAACUGUUUAAUUGACAUUAAACCUAAUUUACUAAUAUUUUAAUGAGUAAGAUGUUUCCUUGAAAUUGUUAUACCCAGAUAUUAUGUGUGAAGUAGAAAGCACAGUUAUACAUUUCUGAAUUUAUUAAAAAUGUACAUCUGCUAUAUUCAGUAAUUAGUCAAAGCUCAUUUUUAUAAGAAUAAUAGAGCAAUUUGUUAAGGAUAUAUAAUAAACCAAAGCAACUUGGACUAGCUAAUGACAGUUAUGGGUUUGCGCUAUUUUUCUGUGCAAAUUAAGUGACAAAAGUUAGAAGCAUUUAUUCCUACAAAAUAUGCCUGCUGUUAAGUUACUUCUGGAGUCUUCUAAACUAUUUCUCACACUGACGUAUCUUGGAAAAGACAUAUGUAUACUAUCUGCCAAAUUCUGAAUCCAUUAAAAUUAUCUUGAUACCAGAUGCCUAUUUUUUUCAUAAUUUUUAACACCACCUUGAUCAUUUAGCAAUAAGGGGGAAAGUGUGCUUUCUUUAAAGUCUCUCUUUCUAGCCUUCAAAUUCCAGUUACAUUUGUAGAGGCAAAAUAUCACACUUCUAUUUCAUGGUUGUUUAUUAGCUUUUUGUUUAUUUUGGAGUACCACUCCAACCUUGGUUCAUUGUUCAAGUCUUGUUCCUUAUAGAACUUUAUCACGGGCAGCCUGAAGAAGAUCAAAAGAAACUAUGAUUACUGGGUAGGACUGUCACAGAACGGGCCCGACCAACCUUGGCUUUGGCAGGAUGGCUCCUCUCCUUCCGCUGAACUGUUGCCAAGACAGAGGUCCCAGUCAACUAAUCAGGUCUGUGGAUACCUCAAAGACAACGACCUUUCUUCUGCAAACUGCAGCAUUUGGAAAUAUUUCAUCUGUGAGAAGUACGCACUAAGAUCUUACACCUGAAAGAAAUUUUGCUUGAAGUGAUCACUCCAUUAUGCUCAUAUUUGCAACAGAUCCUUCAAAAACCUGUAAUAAUGAGCCUAAGAGCCAGCGCAGAACUAAACCAGUGCAAGGGCUGUAAAACCAGCUACCUGGAACACAAAACCUAUCUUGCCUUUACACUUGGUAAUAUUCCUCAAUGCUUUCCAGAUGUUUCUUUGACACUGUUCAAAUUAAUUACCAAGGAUAAAAUUGGUUUAGAGCAACAGAGGACAAAACUGUAAAGAGUGGAGAACAAGCUGAAGAAAAAUCAUUUCCAUUUGUCUUUUUUUUUCUUUCUCUCUCUAUUUUUUUUUUUAAUUUAGAGUGACUGUAAACUCUACAAAAUCAAUAAAUCACUGGUGAGAUGAUGCAAUUUUAGCUAACUGAUACCUUUUUUAAUAAAUGAAUAAAUGUGA